AAUAUUGGACAAUGGGCGCAAGCCUGAUCCAGCCAUGCCGCGUGUGUGGAGAAGGCCUUCGGGUUGUAAAGCACUUUUGUCCGGAAAGAAAGCGAAUCGGCGAAUACCCGGUUUGGAUGACGGUACCGGAAGAAUAAGCACCGGCUAACUUCGUGCCAGCAGCCUCGGUAAUACGAAGAGUGCAAGCGUUACUCGGAAUUACUGGGCGUAAAGCGUGCGUAGGCGGUCUGUUAAGUCUGCUGUGAAAUCCCCGGGCUCAACCU
Molecule: ribosomal RNA, 263 nt
Filed under: uncultured bacterium
Lineage: Bacteria
Description: partial 16S ribosomal RNA
Rfam family: Bacterial small subunit ribosomal RNA
Source: RNAcentral